AACGACAGGCAGAGGAGCUCCCCGUGGGUGUGGAUGGCGGUGAUCCUGUGCAUGCUGCUGGCCAUCGGCGUCCUCGUGUUGGGCGCCACGAUGUUGGCCGUGUACUUGAUCUACAAGCCCCAGAUGCCGUACAUGGAGGUGACCAACGCGCAGCUCCUGCAGCUCGACUACAGCCCGGCCGACGGCGUCACCAGGGACAUAAAGUUCAAGUUCGAUCUUCUCGCCAAGAACACCAACUCCAAGGUCGACACCUCCUUCUCCAGCUUCAACAUCGACGUCAACUUCAACGGCACCACCCUGCUACAGCUGAGCACCGAGACCUUCACCGUCGCCCGGGAGAGCUCCGUCACGCUGCCGUACAGCGGGGAGUCGCGCGGGACGAGGCUGGACCCCGCCGGGAUGCAGGCCAUGGAGGAGGCGGUCAGGUCCGAGCUGGUGCCGAUCACCCUGUCCGGCAAGGCGCGGACGCGGUGGAAGAAGGGCGUCUUCCUCAAGGUCGGCUUCUGGACGCGCCUCAAUUGCCCCCUCGACUUCUACUACCGCACCGGCAACGUCGCGCCCAUCGACCACGACACCUGCCGCUCCAGGUCGCCGUAG
RNAcentral lists this ribosomal RNA (597 nucleotides) under Triticum aestivum (bread wheat). RNAcentral describes it as "partial small subunit ribosomal RNA". The record is from RNAcentral. Lineage: Eukaryota; Viridiplantae; Streptophyta; Magnoliopsida; Poales; Poaceae.